Molecule: ribosomal RNA, 793 nt
Filed under: uncultured bacterium
Lineage: Bacteria
Description: bacterial SSU rRNA
Rfam family: Bacterial small subunit ribosomal RNA
Source: RNAcentral
AGAGUUUGAUCAUGGCUCAGGAUGAACGCUAGCGGCAGGCUUAAUACAUGCAAGUCGAGGGGCAGCACAGGUAGCAAUACUGGGUGGCGACCGGCAAACGGGUGCGGAACACGUACGCAACCUUCCUUUAAGUGGAGAAUAGCCCAGGGAAACUUGGAUUAAUACUCCGUAAGACAAUGGAGUGGCAUCACUCAGUUGUUAAAGUUACGACGCUUAAAGAUGGGCGUGCGGCUGAUUAGGUAGUUGGCGGAGUAACAGCCCACCAAGCCAACGAUCAGUAACUGGUGUGAGAGCACGACCAGUCACACGGGCACUGAGACACGGGCCCGACUCCUACGGGAGGCAGCAGUAAGGAAUAUUGGUCAAUGGACGCAAGUCUGAACCAGCCAUGCCGCGUGGAGGAUGAAGGCCCUCUGGGUUGUAAACUUCUUUUAUUUGGGAAGAAACCCAUCUUUUCUAAGGUGGUUGACGGUACCAGAUGAAUAAGCACCGGCUAACUCCGUGCCAGCAGCCGCGGUAAUACGGAGGGUGCAAGCGUUAUCCGGAUUCACUGGGUUUAAAGGGUGCGUAGGUGGGCAGGUAAGUCAGUGGUGAAAUCUCCGGGCUUAACCCGGAAACUGCCGUUGAUACUAUCUGUCUUGAAUGUAGUGGAGGUGAGCGGAAUAUGUCAUGUAGCGGUGAAAUGCUUAGAUAUGACAUAGAACACCAAUUGCGAAGGCAGCUCGCUACACUACUAUUGACACUGAGGCACGAAAGCGUGGGGAUCAAACAGGAUUAGAUACCCUAGUAGUCC